This 468-nucleotide ribosomal RNA is filed under the name uncultured bacterium. Its description in RNAcentral is "partial 16S ribosomal RNA". It matches the Rfam family "Bacterial small subunit ribosomal RNA", at positions 28 to 507 of the family's 1533-position model. The record is from RNAcentral.
GACGAACGCUGGCGGCGUGCUUAACACGUGCAAGUCGAACGGAAAGGCCCUGCUUUUGUGGGGUGCUCUAGUGGCGAACGGGUGAGUAACACGUGAGUAACCUGCCCUUGACUUUGGGAUAACUUCAGGAAACUGGGGCUAAUACCGGAUAGGAGCUCCUGCUGCAUGGUGGGGGUUGGAAAGUUUCGGCGGUUGGGGAUGGACUCGCGGCUUAUCAGCUUGUUGGUGGGGUAGUGGCUUACCAAGGCUUUGACGGGUAGCCGGCCUGAGAGGGUGACCGGCCACAUUGGGACUGAGAUACGGCCCAGACUCCUACGGGAGGCAGCAGUGGGGAAUAUUGCACAAUGGGCGGAAGCCUGAUGCAGCAACGCCGCGUGCGGGAUGACGGCCUUCGGGUUGUAAACCGCCUUCGCCUGUGACGAAGCGUGAGUGACGGUAAUGGGUAAAGAAGCACCGGCUAACUACGUG